AGAACAUAGGCUUCAGUACAGAAUGUGAGCUUCUGCUGGGAAGAAUUUGAUUUCAGAAGUGGGAGGAAUGGUUUAUGACACUCAGAGACCUGCUGCACCCAUGACCAAAACAUUUCCAGGUAUUUCCUCUAAACGUUCAUCAAGAUCAUGCGGAUGGUUGCAGAAAUCUGAAGCACUGCUGGAAAAGGGAGAGGACCAGAUGCUGGGAUCCACGCUCUCCCUGAGCAUGUCUCAGAUACCAAGAAGCCUUAGAAAGGUUAUCACUGUGAUAUAUAUGAUGAGAAUACUACUGUGUCUGAGGC
Molecule: long non-coding RNA, 302 nt
Organism: Dromaius novaehollandiae (emu)
Lineage: Eukaryota; Metazoa; Chordata; Aves; Casuariiformes; Dromaiidae
Exons: 3
Source: RefSeq, a predicted model, not a curated record